Molecule: ribosomal RNA, 866 nt
Filed under: Klebsiella pneumoniae
Lineage: Bacteria; Pseudomonadati; Pseudomonadota; Gammaproteobacteria; Enterobacterales; Enterobacteriaceae
Description: bacterial SSU rRNA
Rfam family: Bacterial small subunit ribosomal RNA
Source: RNAcentral
AAGUCGAGCGGUAGCACAGAGAGCUUGCUCUCGGGUGACGAGCGGCGGACGGGUGAGUAAAGUCUGGGAAACUGCCUGAUGGAGGGGGAUAACUACUGGAAACGGUAGCUAAUACCGCAUAACGUCGCAAGACCAAAGUGGGGGACCUUCGGGCCUCAUGCCAUCAGAUGUGCCCAGAUGGGAUUAGCUAGUAGGUGGGGUAACGGCUCACCUAGGCGACGAUCCCUAGCUGGUCUGAGAGGAUGACCAGCCACACUGGAACUGAGACACGGUCCAGACUCCUACGGGAGGCAGCAGUGGGGAAUAUUGCACAAUGGGCGCAAGCCUGAUGCAGCCAUGCCGCGUGUGUGAAGAAGGCCUUCGGGUUGUAAAGCACUUUCAGCGGGGAGGAAGGCGAUAAGGUUAAUAACCUCGUCGAUUGACGUUACCCGCAGAAGAAGCACCGGCUAACUCCGUGCCAGCAGCCGCGGUAAUACGGAGGGUGCAAGCGUUAAUCGGAAUUACUGGGCGUAAAGCGCACGCAGGCGGUCUGUCAAGUCGGAUGUGAAAUCCCCGGGCUCAACCUGGGAACUGCAUUCGAAACUGGCAGGCUAGAGUCUUGUAGAGGGGGGUAGAAUUCCAGGUGUAGCGGUGAAAUGCGUAGAGAUCUGGAGGAAUACCGGUGGCGAAGGCGGCCCCCUGGACAAAGACUGACGCUCAGGUGCGAAAGCGUGGGGAGCAAACAGGAUUAGAUACCCUGGUAGUCCACGCCGUAAACGAUGUCGAUUUGGAGGUUGUGCCCUUGAGGCGUGGCUUCCGGAGCUAACGCGUUAAAUCGACCGCCUGGGGAGUACGGCCGCAAGGUUAAAACUCAAAUGAAUUGACGG